Molecule: ribosomal RNA, 520 nt
Filed under: uncultured Pacispora
Lineage: Eukaryota; Fungi; Glomeromycota; Glomeromycetes; Diversisporales; Pacisporaceae
Description: SSU rRNA
Rfam family: Eukaryotic small subunit ribosomal RNA
Source: RNAcentral
AGCAGCCGCGGUAAUUCCAGCUCCAAUAGCGUAUAUUAAAGUUGUUGCAGUUAAAAAGCUCGUAGUUGAAUUUCGAAAUUUUUUUAUCGGUUGAAUCAACAGGUUCGUACUGAUUUUUAAGAAUUUCUACCUUCUGGAGAACCUUAAUGUCAUUUAUUUGAUGUUUUGGGAAACCAGGACUGUUACCUUGAAAAAAUUAGAGUGUUUAAAGCAGGCUUAUGUCUGAAUAUAUUAGCAUGGAAUAAUGAAAUAGGACGGCAUGGUUCUAUUUUGUUGGUUUCUAGGAUCACCGUAAUGAUUAAUAGGGAUAGUUGGGGGCAUUAGUAUUCAAUUGUCAGAGGUGAAAUUCUUGGAUUUAUUGAAGACUAACUUCUGCGAAAGCAUUUGCCAAGGAUGUUUUCAUUAAUCAAGAACGGAAGUUAGGGGAUCGAAGACGAUCAGAUACCGUCGUAGUCUUAACCAUAAACUAUGCCGACUAGGAAUCGGACGAAGUUAUUUUUUAAUGACUCGUUCGGCGCCU